GACGAACGCUGGCGGCGUGCUUAACACAUGCAAGUCGAACGGUGAAGCGCCUUCCUUUUUGGUGGGUGUGGAUGAGUGGCGAACGGGUGAGUAACACGUGAGUAACCUGCCCCCUUCUUCUGGAUAACCGCAUGAAAGUGUGGCUAAUACGGGAUAUUCUGGGUCUGUCGCAUGAUGGGUCUGGGAAAGAUAUUGUUUCGGUGGGGGAUGGGCUCGCGGCCUAUCAGCUUGUUGGUGGGGUGAUGGCCUACCAAGGCGGUGACGGGUAGCCGGCCUGAGAGGGUGGACGGUCACACUGGGACUGAGACACGGCCCAGACUCCUACGGGAGGCAGCAGUGGGGAAUAUUGCACAAUGGGCGCAAGCCUGAUGCAGCGACGCCGCGUGAGGGAUGAGGCCUUCGGGUUGUGAACCUCUUUCGCCAGUGAAGCAGGCCUGCCUCGUUUGUGGGUGGGUUGACGGUAGCUGGAGAAGAAGCGCCGGCUAACUACGUG
This 493-nucleotide ribosomal RNA is filed under the name uncultured bacterium. RNAcentral describes it as "partial 16S ribosomal RNA". It matches the Rfam family "Bacterial small subunit ribosomal RNA", at positions 28 to 507 of the family's 1533-position model. The record is from RNAcentral.